RNAcentral lists this unclassified non-coding RNA (327 nucleotides) under Candolleomyces candolleanus. RNAcentral describes it as "Psathyrella candolleana partial internal transcribed spacer region". The stretch from base 1 to 46 matches the Rfam family "Eukaryotic small subunit ribosomal RNA", at positions 1786 to 1831 of the family's 1831-position model. Lineage: Eukaryota; Fungi; Basidiomycota; Agaricomycetes; Agaricales; Psathyrellaceae. The record is from RNAcentral.
AAGUCGUAACAAGGUUUCCGUAGGUGAACCUGCGGAAGGAUCAUUAACGAAUAUCUAUGGCGUUGGUUGUAGCUGGCUCCUAGGAGCAAUGUGCACGCCCGUCAUUCAUAUCAUCUUUCCACCUGUGAACCAUGUGUAGGCCUGGAUACCCCUCGCUUUGGCAACAAAGCGGAUGCAAGGAUUGCUGCGUCGACAAGGCCGGCUCUCUUUGAAUUUCCAGGUUCUACGUCUUUUACACACCCCAUUUGAAUGAUUUAGAAUGUAGUCAAUGGGCUUUCAUGCCUAUAAAAAACUAUACAACUUUCAGCAACGGAUCUCUUGGCUCUC